AACCAUCUGUGACUGGAGCCAUGACGCAGCCAGCGCACAUUACUCACUUUUACAGUCACGACUUGGAAAUCCGUGCAGUUUCCAACCAAAAUUACACCGCCACCAUUGAAUUAUUUAAUAGGAUCCAGUUAAGGGAUCCGCAACUGUCGCUGGGCUUGGAGUGCCAGACAAUAACAUGGCAAACUACUGCUAGUGAUACAGCAACAUUGGGAAAAAUCACACCGCUAUUACAGAUCACAUCAUAGGCGUCGCCAGGCGCAGGGAGAGAUUUGGCUUUUUAAAAUAGCCGACGAGCCCUCUUUGUUAUUAGGCAGCAGCCAGAAAGCACGAUCAGAGGCGUUGCCAGUGGCACAUCCGCGCACGCCCCAACCCAGGACUUGUCUCUCUAGGCUAGAGAGAGCUGGUACAUUACAACCCUCGCACAGAACUCCAGCCCUGGACAUUCUUUUUAGCAAGUGCGCAUGGAGGGAUGGCCUUUGCUGCAGGGCUGAGUCCUGCAGGCAGGAGGACACUAGUACUUGUCCUGAAGAGAGCUCGUGUCACAUGAGGGCCUCAGAUGCGGACACGCAGGCAGCCGUAAAACAUGCCAUCUUCGAGGAGUUUCAAGGAAGAGCAGCGCUGAUGAACGGAAAUGGUAGGCUAAGCAUGUGUUUAAGGAGGCACACGCAUCUACCGAAGCCUUGCCUGGCUCCCGGAUGUAAAAGAGGAGUUUGCCAGGGUCUUACACGAAUGGGGUGAUGACUACAUGCGCCCGAAUCUCCCUCCCCACUUUGUAUGUUUAAAGUUCCCUCUCCUAGUCUGUGGAGAUGGAGGAGAAUGCAAUGGAAGGGCUCAUUGUCCUGAACUUGUUUCCGUUGAUAUGAGAAGACGCAGGCGCAGCUGUGUAGCUAGGAUUAACCUGGUGAUAAACCAUAGGGUAUGAAUAGGGAACCACUGCAAACCCUCCGUAACAGCAGAAGGGCUGCCUCCUCUUUCAGUCCCUACCUCUUCCCCUUCUUCUGACUGAUUUUUUUUAAACUCACCUAUUGCAUUCCAAGAACUAACUUGUUCCUCUUCCACAGGAUUUGAAACAUCUUCUGAAUAAACCAGGAGGGUGCCUGCCUUUUCCAACAAGAACCAAACCUCUCCCAUAAGAACAGUCCCUGUUAGCAGAAGUGUGUAAUUUCCACCUCAGCAGGACAGCUCUCUAUCUUCUCUACCUGCUGCUAGACACCCAACUCAAGGCUGGGCUAAAGCGAAGUACAAUGCCCUGGGAAUCACUUGUUUCAAAUAAAUAAAACAACAACAAUGGAACUGAUCCAAAUGAAAGGAAAGGAAAGAACCUUUGGCAGGUGAUGCUGUACCUUGCAAACAACAGUUCCCACUUCUUCUGAUAAAUGCUAAAUGGAGAAUUUAUCUUCCAUCUUCAUAUUUUAGCCUCAUCAGCAAUCUCUUGGUUCCAGAGAAUUAAGCCUCCCUAACAACUGGGGCAUAAUUAAAUCAAUGGAUUCUGUAUUCUUCUCUCGAACUGGAAGGGAAAUUUCACUGUUACCAGAAGGAACAGUGAGUAUAGAUACAUGGCACUCCACAUAGAACUGGAAAACUAUCCAAGGUGCUGAACUAUGGCAUGAUGCUCUUUGAUGUGUACUACCUGCGAAGCAGACCAUUCUGACUCUUGAAACCUUCCAGGGCUCUCCGCAUUCCAAGGACAGUGGCAUUGGUACAACAAACAUCAGUUAUCAGUAUGUACAGUUUAUGUUCAAAAGACACCUUUGGCCUGUUAAACACAAACUAAUUCAGUUACCCUGGGCAGGGGGCAGACUAGCAAGUGCAGCCUGCCCUUGAGACAUUCAUGAGUAGGGGCACUCUUUUUGAAAGGGAUGGGGAAAUCCCAUCUUUCCUUUUGAUCCUUCAACCUCAAGGCCACAUCAUGAAAUAAGGAUCCUUCUGGAUGGGUAGUAGUCUUCAGCUGAGCCGGUCUUAUCAAGACCAGAAUCAGUCAGAGGAAGCACUGCAGAAUGAUGGGGAAAGUGCCCUCAUGUUCUCCUUGCUAGUUUGAGUGCUACUUCCUCAAUGCCCCCAACCCUGCCAGGGAUCACAUCCCAGUCAUGAAUAUAAUUUACAGCAUUCUCCUAAACCAGGGUGACACCCAACCGUAUUUUGAUUUCAUUCUCCAAUUGACAAUAGCGGAUUGACUCUUACUACUUUACAAACAGAAGGGGAGUAUGGGGUGACCAGAAGUAAAGAGGGUAGCACCAUGAUGAUAAGGUCUAGGACUUUCUUUACUUGGGGUCAGAUUUUCCAGAGCUCAGCAUGCAGUGGCCCCCAUUAAGAAAUGAGCUGUUUCUAUGUAAUUAAUCACUGCCGCACAUUUCUUUAAAAAUAAAGAACAACAAAA
This is a non-coding RNA of Chrysemys picta bellii (western painted turtle), 2377 nucleotides long. NCBI's taxonomy places the organism in Eukaryota, Metazoa, Chordata, Testudines, Emydidae. The record is from RefSeq and is a predicted model, not a curated record.